This 497-nucleotide ribosomal RNA is filed under the name uncultured bacterium. RNAcentral describes it as "partial 16S ribosomal RNA". It matches the Rfam family "Bacterial small subunit ribosomal RNA", at positions 29 to 507 of the family's 1533-position model. The record is from RNAcentral.
AGUGAACGCUGGCGGCAGGCCUAACACAUGCAAGUCGAACGACAGCACGGUAAGCUCUUGCUUCUACGGGUGGCGAGUGGCGGACGGGUGAGGAAUACAUCGCACUCCACUUUUACUUGGGGAACUUGUAGGAAACCUUACUCUUAUACGGCAUUAUACUUACCGGCGUAAGCCAGGGGUGUUAGGCGGUUUUGCUGUUGCUUAUGCCUGUGUCCGCGCCGCAAUAGCUAGUUGGUAAGGUAAAGGCUUACCAAGGCCACGAUGCGUAGCGGGUCUGAGAGGAUGAUCAGCCACACUGGAACUGAGACACGGUCCAGACUCCUACGGGAGGCAGCAGUAGGGAAUAUUGGACAAUGGGCGCAAGCCUGACCGAGCCAUGCCGCGUGAGUGAAGAAGGUCUUCGGAUUGUAAAACUCUGUUAUUGGGGAAGAAAAAAUGUAGAUGAAAACACGGAUGUUCUGACGGUACCUAAAGAGAAAGCACCGGCUAACUUCGUG